GCUGGCAGUUCUCCGAGGUUUGUCAUUAGAAUGUGAGAAGAGCCGCACAGAUAUUGCACAGGCUGUUCGAAGAAGUUUGAUUUACUUUGAGAGCUACUGCUCCAUUUCAGGGUGGCAGAAAAAUGAGAUUUCAACAAUUCUUUUUUGUAUUUUUAAUUUUUAUGAUGAGUCUUCUUCUUAUCAACGGACAGAGACCAGCUAAUUUGGCAAUGAGAAGAAAACUACACAGACUCAGCUGCCAUCAGAGGAGAUGUAUGCCUCUCCAUUCACGAGUGCCCUUCCCCUGAGGUAUUUCUGAUGGAAAAUAGCUUUCCUAAAUUUAGGCAACAUUCCAGAUUGAAAAUAGAUCUUCUUUUACUGACUUCACCUGGUCUGCCAGAAGAAGAGGAUUGGAGGAAAAAUAACUACCCACACUAUAGUGUGCUUGCUUAGAAGUUCCUAUAUGAAAAGGGAUCCUUUGAAAGCACCUGGGAUGUCUUACUAGCUUCACAAGAUUCUCUUCUGUUUUCUUUUCAAGGGAAAAUAACAGGAAUUCAAAAGCAAUUACAGUCUGAAACACAGUUAUUUCCUGCACAAAAAAAUCUCUCAUCUUUUCUGCACAUUAUAAUUCUUACAUGGGUUAGCAAGAAAAAUACUUUAUAAUGUCUUUGGACUUUCUAAUAUCAAAAAGUGCAAGAAUAUAAAAUUUAGCUUUCAUAUUCCUAUAAUUCUUCAAAAAUAUUAAAUAAUUUUGUAUA
Pipistrellus kuhlii (Kuhl's pipistrelle) is the source of this 737-nucleotide RNA transcript. It is a transcript of the gene named apelin receptor early endogenous ligand, with no coding region annotated. The record is from RefSeq and is a predicted model, not a curated record. The transcript has 3 exons. NCBI's taxonomy places the organism in Eukaryota, Metazoa, Chordata, Mammalia, Chiroptera, Vespertilionidae.